Molecule: ribosomal RNA, 468 nt
Filed under: Globigerinella siphonifera
Lineage: Eukaryota; Foraminifera; Rotaliida; Globigerinidae
Description: bacterial SSU rRNA
Rfam family: Eukaryotic small subunit ribosomal RNA
Source: RNAcentral
GCGUGGAGCAUGUGGCUUAAUUUGACUCAACGCGGGGAAUCUUACCGGGUCCGGACACACUGAGGAUUGACAGACAAUUGUCCUUUUGGCUUAAAAGACAAAAGAUAACAGAUCUUUCAUGAUUAUGUGAUGGGUGGUGCAUGGCCGUUCUUAGUUCGUGGAGUGAUCUGUCUGCUUAAUUGCGUUUCAAAUAUACUUUUUUUACAACGAGUCUACAAAGGAGUGGUUCAGUUACAACAGACAAUUAAUUCUUGUGUUUUGAACGUUUGGAAUGUACUCUAUUUGGCUCAAUUGAACGCAACGGACGUGAUCGCAAGUCCUUGUUGAACUUCAGUAUAUAUUGACUUUCCCCGUAGGAAGGGAUUGCCAAUAAUUGAAUGUUCGCUUUCUAUUGGUGUGUGAUCUCAAAAUUGCAUGUAUUUGUGAUGGCGAGUGAUCUAAUCCCUUAGGAAAAGCUCGGGCGCCCGU